GACGAACGCUGGCGGCGUGCCUAAUACAUGCAAGUUGAGCGAUGAAGCUUGGCGCUUGCACCAAUUUGAAGAGCAGCGAACGGGUGAGUAACGCGUGGGGAAUCUGCCUUUGAGCGGGGGACAACAUUUGGAAACGAAUGCUAAUACCGCAUAACAACUUUAAACAUAAGUUUUAAGUUUGAAAGAUGCAAUUGCAUCACUCAAAGAUGAUCCCGCGUUGUAUUAGCUAGUUGGUGAGGUAAAGGCUCACCAAGGCGAUGAUACAUAGCCGACCUGAGAGGGUGAUCGGCCACAUUGGGACUGAGACACGGCCCAAACUCCUACGGGAGGCAGCAGUAGGGAAUCUUCGGCAAUGGACGAAAGUCUGACCGAGCAACGCCGCGUGAGUGAAGAAGGUUUUCGGAUCGUAAAACUCUGUUGGUAGAGAAGAACGUUGGUGAGAGUGGAAAGCUCAUCAAGUGACGGUAACUACCCAGAAAGGGACGGCUAACUACGUG
This 497-nucleotide ribosomal RNA is filed under the name uncultured bacterium. RNAcentral describes it as "partial 16S ribosomal RNA". It matches the Rfam family "Bacterial small subunit ribosomal RNA", at positions 28 to 507 of the family's 1533-position model. The record is from RNAcentral.